This 478-nucleotide ribosomal RNA is filed under the name uncultured bacterium. RNAcentral's name for it is "partial 16S ribosomal RNA". It matches the Rfam family "Bacterial small subunit ribosomal RNA", at positions 28 to 507 of the family's 1533-position model. The record is from RNAcentral.
GAUGAACGCUGGCGGCGUGCUUAACACAUGCAAGUCGAACGAGAAGUAAAGACGGAAACCUUCGGGCGGAAGGCUUUAUUUCGAGUGGCGGACGGGUGAGUAACGCGUGGGUAACCUGCCUCAUACAGGGGGAUAACAGUUGGAAACGACUGUUAAUACCGCAUAAGACCACAGCACCGCAUGGUGCGGGGGUAAAAACUCCGGUGGUAUGAGAUGGACCCGCGUUCGAUUAGCCAGUUGGCGGGGUAACGGCCCACCAAAGCGACGAUCGAUAGCCGAUCUGAGAGGAUGACCGGCCACAUUGGGACUGAGACACGGCCCAAACUCCUACGGGAGGCAGCAGUGGGGAAUAUUGCACAAUGGGGGAAACCCUGAUGCAGCGACGCCGCGUGAGUGAAGAAGUAUUUCGGUAUGUAAAGCUCUAUCAGCAGGGAAGAAAAUGACGGUACCUGAGUAAGAAGCCCCGGCUAACUACGUG